CGGCCAUACUGAAUAUACCGGUUCUCGUUAGAUCACCGAAGUCAAGCAUCAUUGGGCGCGGUCUGUACUUGGGUGGGUGACCACCUGGGAACACUGCGUACCGUAG
Molecule: ribosomal RNA, 106 nt
Filed under: Caerostris darwini
Lineage: Eukaryota; Metazoa; Arthropoda; Arachnida; Araneae; Araneidae
Source: RNAcentral